AUGUCAUGGUGAGGACAUUGUCUAAGCAACUCCUUGAAUCUUUCUCAAGCAUCAAAUAGAGACUCAUCCUCUCCUUGCCUAUACUAGGAUAUCUCAUUUCUCAUUUU
This is a small nucleolar RNA of Lathyrus oleraceus (garden pea), 107 nucleotides long. NCBI's taxonomy places the organism in Eukaryota, Viridiplantae, Streptophyta, Magnoliopsida, Fabales, Fabaceae. The record is from RefSeq and is a predicted model, not a curated record.